UGGGGAAUAUUGGACAAUGGGGGCAACCCUGAUCCAGCAAUGCCGCGUGGGUGAAGAAGGCUUUCGGGUUGUAAAGCCCUUUCGGUGGGGAAGAAAGGCCGCGCGUGAAGAGCGUGCGGCGUUGACGUUACCCACAGAAGAAGCACCGGCUAACUCCGUGCCAGCAGCCGCGGUAAUACGGAGGGUGCGAGCGUUAAUCGGAAUUACUGGGCGUAAAGGGCGCGUAGGCGGUUGGGUAAGUCGGGUGUGAAAGCCCUGGGCUUAACCUAGGAAUGGCAUUCGAGACUGCCGGACUGGAGUAUGGUAGAGGGAGGCGGAAUUUCCGGUGUAGCGGUGAAAUGCGUAGAUAUCGGAAGGAACACCAGUGGCGAAGGCGGCCUCCUGGACCACUACUGACGCUGAGGCGCGAAAGCGUGGGGAGCGAACAGG
Molecule: ribosomal RNA, 429 nt
Filed under: uncultured Nitrosococcus sp.
Lineage: Bacteria; Pseudomonadati; Pseudomonadota; Gammaproteobacteria; Chromatiales; Chromatiaceae
Description: bacterial SSU rRNA
Rfam family: Bacterial small subunit ribosomal RNA
Source: RNAcentral